CGAACCUGGACAUCGUUUUGUACACGAAGUCAAGCUGCUGUACCCGUGAUUCCAUGUAUCGAG
Molecule: microRNA precursor, 63 nt
Filed under: Caenorhabditis briggsae
Lineage: Eukaryota; Metazoa; Nematoda; Chromadorea; Rhabditida; Rhabditidae
Description: Cbr-Mir-54-P1b-v2_pre stem-loop
Source: RNAcentral